GAUGAACGCUGACAGAAUGCUUAACACAUGCAAGUCUUUGGCGAAGCUGUGCUUGCACAGCCUAGCCAAGGCGGACGGGUGAGUAACGCGUAAGGAACUUGCCCUGCAGUCAGGGAUAACAGACGGAAACGACUGAUAAGACCUGGUAAAGUCAGGCGGACUCAUGUCCAGCCUGAUGAAAAGAGAUGCUGCAGGAGAGCCUUGCGUCCUAUUAGCUUGUUGGUGGGGUAACGGCCCACCAAGGCGAUGAAAGGUAGCCGGCCUGAGAGGGUGGACGGCCACAAGGGGACUGAGAUACGGCCCUUACUCCUACGGGAGGCAGCAGUGGGGAAUAUUGGACAAUGGGGGCAACCCUGAUCCAGCAAUUCUGUGUGCACGAUGAAGGUUUUCGGAUUGUAAAGUGCUUUCAGCAGGGAAGAAAAAAUGACGGUACCUGCAGAAGAAGCGACGGCUAAAUACGUG
RNAcentral lists this ribosomal RNA (462 nucleotides) under uncultured bacterium. RNAcentral's name for it is "partial 16S ribosomal RNA". It matches the Rfam family "Bacterial small subunit ribosomal RNA", at positions 28 to 507 of the family's 1533-position model. The record is from RNAcentral.